GCGACAUCAUAAGCGACCCGACCCGGAAUG
Molecule: small RNA, 30 nt
Filed under: Bombyx mori (domestic silkworm)
Lineage: Eukaryota; Metazoa; Arthropoda; Insecta; Lepidoptera; Bombycidae
Description: ovarian small RNA-16798
Source: RNAcentral